AGCGAACGCUGGCGGCAGGCCUAACACAUGCAAGUCGAACGAACCUUUCGGGGUUAGUGGCGGACGGGUGAGUAACACGUGGGAACGUGCCUUUAGGUUCGGAAUAACUCAGGGAAACUUGUGCUAAUACCGAAUGUGCCCUUCGGGGGAAAGAUUAAUCGCCUUUAGAGCGGCCCGCGUCUGAUUAGCUAGUUGGUUGAGGUAAUGGCUCACCAAGGCGACGAUCAGUAGCUGGUCUGAGAGGAUGAUCAGCCACAUUGGGACUGAGACACGGCCCAAACUCCUACGGGAGGCAGCAGUGGGGAAUCUUGCGCAAUGGGCGAAAGCCUGACGCAGCCAUGCUGCGUGAAUGAUGAAGGUCUUAGGAUUGUAAAAUUCUUUCACCGGGGACGAUAAUGACGGUACCCGGAGAAGAAGCCCCGGCUAACUUCGUG
RNAcentral lists this ribosomal RNA (434 nucleotides) under uncultured bacterium. Its description in RNAcentral is "partial 16S ribosomal RNA". It matches the Rfam family "Bacterial small subunit ribosomal RNA", at positions 29 to 507 of the family's 1533-position model. The record is from RNAcentral.